This 498-nucleotide ribosomal RNA is filed under the name uncultured bacterium. Its description in RNAcentral is "partial 16S ribosomal RNA". It matches the Rfam family "Bacterial small subunit ribosomal RNA", at positions 30 to 523 of the family's 1533-position model. The record is from RNAcentral.
AUUGAACGCUGGCGGCAUGCCUUACACAUGCAAGUCGAACGGUAACAGGUCUUCGGAUGCUGACGAGUGGCGAACGGGUGAGUAAUACAUCGGAACGUACCCGAUCGUGGGGGAUAACGAAGCGAAAGCUUUGCUAAUACCGCAUAAGAUCUACGGAUGAAAGCAGGGGACCGCAAGGCCCUGCGCGAACGGAGCGGCCGAUGGCAGAUUAGGUAGUUGGUGGGAUAAAAGCUUACCAAGCCGACGAUCUGUAGCUGGUCUGAGAGGACGACCAGCCACACUGGGACUGAGACACGGCCCAGACUCCUACGGGAGGCAGCAGUGGGGAAUUUUGGACAAUGGGCGAAAGCCUGAUCCAGCCAUGCCGCGUGCAGGAUGAAGGCCUUCGGGUUGUAAACUGCUUUUGUACGGAACGAAAAGACUCUUUCUAAUAAAGAGGGUCCAUGACGGUACCGUAAGAAUAAGCACCGGCUAACUACGUGCCAGCCGCCGCAGUAA